AGAGUUUGAUCAUGGCUCAGAUUGAACGCUGGCGGCAGGCCUAACACAUGCAAGUCGAACGGUAACAGGAAGCAGCUUGCUGUUUCGCUGACGAGUGGCGGACGGGUGAGUAAUGUCUGGGAAACUGCCUGAUGGGGGGGGAUAACUACUGGAAACGGUAGCUAAUACCGCAUAACGUCGCAAGACCAAAGAGGGGGACCUUCGGGCCUCUUGCCAUCGGAUGUGCCCAGAUGGGAUUAGCUUGUUGGUGGGGUAACGGCUCACCAAGGCGACGAUCCCUAGCUGGUCUGAGAGGAUGACCAGCCACACUGGAACUGAGACACGGUCCAGACUCCUACGGGAGGCAGCAGUGGGGAAUAUUGCACAAUGGGCGCAAGCCUGAUGCAGCCAUGCCGCGUGUAUGAAGAAGGCCUUCGGGUUGUAAAGUACUUUCAGCGGGGAGGAAGGGAGUAAAGUUAAUACCUUUGCUCAUUGACGUUACCCGCAGAAGAAGCACCGGCUAACUCCGUGCCAGCAGCCGCGGUAAUACGGAGGGUGCAAGCGUUAAUCGGAAUUACUGGGCGUAAAGCGCACGCAGGCGGUUUGUUAAGUCAGAUGUGAAAUCCCCGGGCUCAACCUGGGAACUGCAUCUGAUACUGGCAAGCUUGAGUCUCGUAGAGGGGGGUAGAAUUCCAGGUGUAGCGGUGAAAUGCGUAGAGAUCUGGAGGAAUACCGGUGGCGAAGGCGGCCCCCUGGACGAAGACUGACGCUCAGGUGCGAAAGCGUGGGGAGCAAACAGGAUUAGAUACCCUGGUAGUCCACGCCGUAAACGAUGUCGACUUGGAGGUUGUGCCCUUGAGGCGUGGCUUCCGGAGCUAACGCGUUAAGUCGACCGCCUGGGGAGUACGGCCGCAAGGUUAAAACUCAAAUGAAUUGACGGGGGCCCGCACAAGCGGUGGAGCAUGUGGUUUAAUUCGAUGCAACGCGAAGAACCUUACCUGGUCUUGACAUCCACGGAAGUUUUCAGAGAUGAGAAUGUGCCUUCGGGAACCGUGAGACAGGUGCUGCAUGGCUGUCGUCAGCUCGUGUUGUGAAAUGUUGGGUUAAGUCCCGCAACGAGCGCAACCCUUAUCCUUUGUUGCCAGCGGUCCGGCCGGGAACUCAAAGGAGACUGCCAGUGAUAAACUGGAGGAAGGUGGGGAUGACGUCAAGUCAUCAUGGCCCUUACGACCAGGGCUACACACGUGCUACAAUGGCGCAUACAAAGAGAAGCGACCUCGCGAGAGCAAGCGGACCUCAUAAAGUGCGUCGUAGUCCGGAUUGGAGUCUGCAACUCGACUCCAUGAAGUCGGAAUCGCUAGUAAUCGUGGAUCAGAAUGCCACGGUGAAUACGUUCCCGGGCCUUGUACACACCGCCCGUCACACCAUGGGAGUGGGUUGCAAAAGAAGUAGGUAGCUUAACCUUCGGGAGGGCGCUUACCACUUUGUGAUUCAUGACUGGGGUGAAGUCGUAACAAGGUAACCGUAGGGGAACCUGCGGUUGGAUCACCU
This 1530-nucleotide ribosomal RNA is filed under the name Escherichia coli O104:H4 str. 11-4632 C4. RNAcentral describes it as "bacterial SSU rRNA". It matches the Rfam family "Bacterial small subunit ribosomal RNA". RNAcentral also lists the same sequence under 4 other names. Lineage: Bacteria; Pseudomonadati; Pseudomonadota; Gammaproteobacteria; Enterobacterales; Enterobacteriaceae. The record is from RNAcentral.